GUAUUCUUUAAGUGCCCACUAUGUAUCAGCCAAUGAUCGUACACGUUACGUUGUUGCAUCCGACCCAGUCUCGCACGCGUGUGCGCGUCGUGGGACGGAGCGUCAAACAAUAGAGGUUGGGACAAAAGCGGUGUCGUAGUACCACAUGUGUACUGCGCAUUCAAUAAUGAUCCUUCCGCAGGUUCACCUACGGAAA
RNAcentral lists this unclassified non-coding RNA (196 nucleotides) under uncultured fungus. RNAcentral's name for it is "sequence contains ITS1". Lineage: Eukaryota; Fungi. The record is from RNAcentral.